GACGAACGCUGGCGGCGUGCCUAAUACAUGCAAGUCGAGCGAACAGACGAGGAUCUUGCUCCUCUGACGUUAGCGGCGGACGGGUGAGUAACACGUGUAUAACCUACCUAUAAGACUGGGAUAACUUCGGGAAACGGGAGCAUAUCCGGUAGAAUCUCCUGAUCCACGGGGUGGAUUGGUAAAUGUCGGCUGUGGGGGAUCUAUUCGAGGCUUCUCAGCCUGUUGGGGUGGUAGUGGCGUAACAGGGCGUCGAUGGGUAGCCGGCCUGACGGGGUGAUAGGCCACACUGAAGCUGAGAGGCGGCCCAGACUCCGAGGGAAGGCAGCAGUAGGGAAUCUUCGGAAAUGGGCGAAAGACUGACGAAGCGACGCAGCGUGAGUGAUGAAGGUCUUCGGAUCGUAAAACGCUGUUAUUGGGGAAGAACGAAUGUGUAAGUAACGAUGCGCGUCUGGAGGGUACCGAAGCAGAAAGCCACGGCUACCUCCGU
RNAcentral lists this ribosomal RNA (487 nucleotides) under uncultured bacterium. RNAcentral describes it as "partial 16S ribosomal RNA". It matches the Rfam family "Bacterial small subunit ribosomal RNA", at positions 28 to 506 of the family's 1533-position model. The record is from RNAcentral.